GGAAAUUUGGAAACUUCCUGCACAGGUAGAAAAUGAGUGGGAACUAGCCCAACAAAAUAGUUGGCUGACUACCAACAAAGUAGCCAGCCCUGGAAUUCUGGACAUGGACAAGCCAACCCUGGGAAAGGAAUUGUUUUAGUCAGCUUUUUUGCUGCUCUGACUAAAAGAUCCGACAAGAACAAUUUUAGAGGAGGAAAAGUUUAUUUGGGGGCUCACAGUUUCAGGGGUCUAAGUCCAUAGACAGCCAGCUCCAUUCCUCAAGGAUGGAGGUGAGGCAGAAUAUCACGGUAGAAGCAUGGUGGAGGGAAGUAGCUCACAUGAUGAUCAGGAAGCAGAAGGAGAGACUCCACUCACCAUAUAAAAAAUAUAUGCUCCAGCUGGGUGUGGAGGCACACGCCUGUAAUCCUAGCAGCUCUGGAGGCUGAGACUGGAGGAUCACAAGUUCAAAGCCAGCCUCAGUAAAAAUAAGGUCCUAAAGCAACUCAGCGAGACCCUGUCUCUAAAUAAAAUACAAAAUAAGUCUGGCGAUGUGGCUCAGUGGUUGAGUGCCCCUGAGUUCAAUCCUUAGUACCAAAAAACAAACAAACAAACAAAUAUAUAUAUACACAUACAUGCACAUACACACACACACACACACUCUCCAAAGGCACGCCCUCAGUGCCCACCUCCUCCAGCCAUACCCUGCCUGCCUUCAGUUACCACUCAGUUAAUCCCCAACAGGGUUAAGACUUUUAUAACCUAGUCAUAUCAACUCUGAAUGUUCUUGCAUUGUCUUCCAUAUGAGCUUUUGGGAACACCUAAUAUCUAAAUCAUAACAGGAACCCAAGCUCUUAAUGUUCUCUAGUUUAUCAUUAAAGAGUUGAGAAAUGAACAGAGAAGCAAAUGGCACCCAGAUAAGCUUGUUUCCUAGGUUGAAAAUUUAGUUUCCUUGGAAAAAAGAUAAAACCAAAUUCUGAGCUAUAAUUUUCCUCUUAAUGGGCUGUAGCUGUAGCUCAGUGGUAGAGCGCUUGCGUCACAAGUGUGAGGCACUGGGUUUUAUCCUCAGCACCACAUAAAAAUCAUUAAAGAUAUUGAUACAUCUACAAUUAAAAAUUAUUUUUAAAAAAAUAUUUCUUCCUUUCUCUUUCUUUCCUCCUUUAUUCUUCCCUCCCUCUUCCUCCUCCCUUCCUCCCUCUUUCUUUCUUCUUCCCUCCCUCUUUCCCCCUCCCUUUCUUUCUUCUUUUUUUCAGAAUACUGGGGAUUAAACCUGGAACAUCAUGUAUUCUAGGCAGGCUCUCUACCACUGAUCUAUGCCCCUAGCCCCUUCUUUUAAAUUUCUGUCUGAAUUUUAUUGUAUUAAUUGGUCAAUUGAUUGAUCCUAGUGCUGGAGAUCGAACCCAGGACUUGGCACAUGCUAGGCCAAGUGCUCUACCCCUGAGCUACAUCCCUAGCCCUCUAUCUGAAUUUUAGCUAAAAUUAACUAUCACUUGACCAGGUCAGUGGAAAAAGUGAGCAUGGAUAUGGUGGGGCAUGCCUCAGCUGAUUAGGAGGUGGGAGGAUCAAAGCUUUUCAAGGGCAGCCUGGGCCAUAUAGCAAGAGCCUGUCUGGAAAUAAAAAGGACUGAGCAUGUAGCUCAGCUGGGGAUAAUUUCCUAGCAUGUGUGAGGCACUGGGUUUGAUUCCCAGUACUGCAAGCACAAAAACAAAACAAAGCAAAGUUUAAGAAAAAGUGAGCAUGGAAAACUCCAAAUUAAAACUAUAGUCAACCCUAGAUUAUUGAUGGGAUGAAUUUCUUAUUGUUAAGAUAAGUUCUCCUCCCUAGAGGAGAAGAAUUUUAGGAAUUUUGUUGGAAUUUAGGGGGUAUUCUUCUUCUCCUACCCAGAAUCUAGAUCAACUGGGAGAGAUUUAAGAGUUAGACAUUGAGAUGAAAAUGGCAGCUUUAACUGGGGGGACUGUUGAGAAUGCAACUGAGGCCUGUGGCCACAGAGGGCUUCCUAAUAACCCCAGGAUCCAGCAGAUUGACUUAUCCAGCCACUAGCAGUAUGGACUACCCCAGCCUCAUUCUUAAAAGAUAAAGCCUUUGCUAAUGGUCUCUGAGCCUUGUAUGCCCAGCUCCUCAUUAAUCAAAGAAGCCAUUUCUCCCACUUCUAAGUCAGGGGAUGGAGAAAGGCCAGUAGAAUUAGUCUAAGAAGUAUCCUUUCACCCCAAAGACAGUAUCUAGAAGAGAAAGGUGGCUUUUAGUAUUUCCUGUUGAUAGGUGGAGAUGGGAGAAAAGGAGAAGCCAUACUUGGGUCAGAGCUCCUGAGGAGGGGGUAGCUGCUCUGGCUAACAAGGAAUGGUCUAGAAUCUGGCUAAUGAGGAAUGGUCUAGAUUCUGCCUCCCUCCUUUUCACAGAUUUUGUCCAUAUGAACUUGUCUAGAAGCUGGAAAAAUGAGUAAGACCCGUAAGUCUAUCCACAUUGACCAUGGUUCCACUAUACUCUGGUUUAUUUGAUCCUGGUGAAUGUAAAAUUGACCAUAUUCUGUCACCUUCAAUAGCUUAUUUUUAAGCAUCCAGUGAAGACCUCUUCCACCUUGUUUCCAUUUUUCUGGUUUCAGAAUAUAGGUUUCAAUUGUAGUUAGUCUCAUUUCAUUCUUUCAGAUCUUGGAGCAAGAACUGAGUAUGAGGAAAAUUCAAACCAGGGCAUUUCAGGGAAGGUGGAACUACCGAGGGUAUCAUUAGAAAGCUCCCAAAUGGAUGUUUUCCAAUACUGUAAUUGCUGGAAAGACUGGGAAAACAGAUAUGGGGCAGAACAGCAAUGGGGAAUAGCCCUGCUGCAAGUUGGACUAGAGUCAGUCUCUCCUCCAGAAAGAGAUGUAGAUAAAGUCAUAGGUCCUCAGGGUACCUAUGCAGAAGAAAAAUCCAGUAUGUGUUUUGACUAUGGAAAAAACUUCAACCAUAUCUAGCCAUCCAUAGGUCAGCCACACAGGAGAAAAGAAACCUUAUGAAUAUAGCCAUUGUGGGAAAAGCUUUGCCAAAGCUCACAUCUAAUCUGCCAUCAGAGAAUCUACACUGGGGAGAAGCCUUCCCAGGGCCCUGAAUAUGAGAAAGGCUUCUGUGAUCAUUCUAACCUCACAGGACACCAGAGAAUCCACACAGGAGAAAAGCCCUAUAAAUGUGCAGAGAGCUGGAAGUGUUAACCAGAGCUCAAACAUUAUUAUGCACCAGAGAAUCCACAGAGGAGAGAAACCCCAUAAAUGUAAUGGGUAUGGAAGAAGAUUCCCCAAUAGCUUGCACUUUGAUUGGGGAAAGUUCACUAAGGGUUCUGUCCUCACCAGCCACCAGAGGAUCCAUAGGAGAAAUCCUACAAGUAUCUCGAGUGUGGGAGAAGUUUCAGUGACUGCUCAAGCCUCAUUACCCACUGGUGAAUUCACACUGGAGAGACCCUAUAAAUGUGGGGAAUGUAGGAAAAGCUUCAAUCAGAGCUCAAGUCUCAUUAUACACAAGGAGAAAAGCCCGAUGAAUGUAACAAAUGUGAGAGGCAAUUGGACAGCAAAUUUUAGCCACAUUGGAGAACCUAUGUGGGAGAGAGACUCUGAUGUGUCCGGUAUAUUGGGAAAAUGUCUUUAAAGCACCAAGUCUGGCAAUUCUAAGGAGUUUGUCCCAUAAAAGAGUCUUUUUUGCCUUUAAUUCUAUAACCUGUCACCAACCUGAGAUAAGAAUUUAAGUCACAGUCCAAAAGACUUUGUUUUGUUUCUCUCUCUAAAUGCUUGGCUUAUGGAAAUAUUCCUCAGGGUUUCCUUAUCUAUGCUGUUGCAAUGGAAGCCAAUUUCCAGAGAAUUCAGAAACUAAUUCUGAAUUUGACUAUGUCCCCAUUUCAGUGUGUCUUCAUUGUGAUUCUGUGCCUUAAUUUUCUCAUCCCUGAGAUCCUCCCUCACAGAUAGACAGGGCACUGUCCUGCCCUGAUCAUGUUAAUGGAGAUGGGUCAGCUAUGGAGCCAGCAGUGUUUGGGCACUAGACAAAAGUUUAUAAUAAAAUUUAUAAUGUACCAUUGUUCUCCCUGUGGGAGGAUUGGGGCUCAGGAUGCGUACAUUUCCCCACCCUCCUUAGGAUUUGCAGGAAUUUAUAGAAAAUUUCUAGAUUCAUAGAGGAAAGUGCUCUAUUACAUGGGGGAGGGAAAAGGAAGAAAGAACAAUGUUAGGUUUGGCUUUCUAAACUAUAACUUCCCUCUCCCAAAAUAUUAGAUUGAACCAUAUGAGAUUGCCAUUGCUGAUCUACAAACUAGCAAUUUUAUGAUUCGAUCUAAGUAGAAUGUCUGCAAUUGUGUUCCCAAUGGCCAGCAGCUCAUACUGAAUCCUAAAAAGGUGAAGCUGGGUCUAGAAGAUAUGAAGCAGGAUAAAUAGGUGGGUAAAGACCUUUCUCUUUGUAGAUAUGCCCAGAGCAAAAACUAAGAACCAUGGUAUUAAAAAGUCCCUAAAGGAUUUACUUCUAUGUCACAUGCCUUUGACAAGCCCACUAAUUCCUGUCUGUGCUUCAGGCUUCUCAGAGCCAGGGUAUCCUGAUCCUUCGGGCAACAGAUUCCCACAGAUUUCAGUCUCUGCACAAGAGCACAGCAGAGUCCCUGGAUAGACUCUGACGCACAGAACAAAUGGGGCUUAGAAAAAAAAUGGAACACAGUUUCUUCCUCUUAAAAUAGUGCCCAUUGUGUUUGAUUUUUAAAUAUUUUCCCACAACCUCCCAGAAUCUCAUUAUAAAACAAAGCACAAUCUACACAUAUUACAAUUGUACUUAAUUAGAUUAAUAAUUAUUAUAAUAAGGCUAACUCAGUAAUAAGGCUUCUUUUUAACAUAAAAACACUUAGCCAAAUAAAUGUCUGUCAAAAUUGGUUAUUUAAUGGGCUGUGGACUUCAUGUUAUUGUGGUUAUUCAAGAAGUUCUUUUGAGUUUUUCUGUAGGAUUUGACUACAUGCCUUCCCAGCAUGUAGGGUAGUUAAUGUCUUAUACACUAGAAAAGUUUAAUAAAUGCUGAUGGAACAAACACCUUUUUUAUCCAGCCUAAUCAUCUGUCUUAUCCAUGAGACUGGGCUCUACUCAGUUUUUGCUUUCCAAAAAUAGAAUCUCUUCAAAGGAUGUCAAUUCACUGCCAUUAAGGAGACUUUUCAGGGUCUGUUGUUGGGAGACAAUUUUCAAAGAGGUAUUCCAGAAAUUGGAAUUUAGAAUAUUUGUCAAGACCAGGAAAUAAAAUUGAUAUGGAUCACUUGAUAUUAUUUUACUCUUUCAAUGAGAAAUUCUUAGGUAGAAAUUCAUCCUACUAAUACCUGAGGUAGCUCUGCAUUAUAAAAUGACUUUGGAGACCAGGUGUGGUGGUGCAUGCCUGUAAUCCCAAUGACUUGGGAGGCUGAGGCAGGAGGAUCAAAAAUUUGAGGCCAGCCUCAGUAAUUUAGUGAGACCGUGUUACAACAAAAAAUAAAUAAAUAAAGGUGCUGGGGAUGGAGCUCAGCGGUAAAGUGCCCCUGGCUUCAAUCCCCAAUCCCACCCCCUAAAAGACUUUGGGAACAACCAGAUUCUCUUUUGAAAAUUUUUGACAUCAUUUUUCUUUUGGAUGGAAUAAGAAGAUUCAAAUAUAUAGAAAUAUAUAGUCGA
Molecule: long non-coding RNA, 5599 nt
Filed under: Marmota monax (woodchuck)
Lineage: Eukaryota; Metazoa; Chordata; Mammalia; Rodentia; Sciuridae
Source: RNAcentral